Triticum aestivum (bread wheat) is the source of this 125-nucleotide non-coding RNA. The record is from Rfam. Lineage: Eukaryota; Viridiplantae; Streptophyta; Magnoliopsida; Poales; Poaceae.
AAAGUACUCCCUCCGUCUGCAAUUACUUGUCGCAUACAUGGAUGAAAAUGGAUGUAUCUAUAACUAAAAUAUGUCUAGAUACAUCCAUUUUUAUGACAAGUAUUUUCGGAUGGAGGGAGUACUCG